RNAcentral lists this ribosomal RNA (2183 nucleotides) under Laribacter hongkongensis. RNAcentral's name for it is "partial 23S ribosomal RNA". It matches the Rfam family "Bacterial large subunit ribosomal RNA", at positions 1 to 2226 of the family's 2925-position model. Lineage: Bacteria; Pseudomonadati; Pseudomonadota; Betaproteobacteria; Neisseriales; Aquaspirillaceae. The record is from RNAcentral.
GAUCAAGCGACUAAGUGCAUCUGGUGGAUGCCUUGGCGAUCAUAGGCGAUGAAGGACGUGUAAGCCUGCGAAAAGCGCGGGGGAGCUGGCAAUAGAGCAUUGAUCCCGCGAUGUCCGAAUGGGGAAACCCACCUCUUUUGAGGUAUCCCUGGCUGAAUCCAUAGGCCAGCGGAGGCGAACCCGGCGAACUGAAACAUCUAAGUAGCCGGAGGAAAAGAAAUCAACCGAGAUUCCGCAAGUAGUGGCGAGCGAACGCGGAAGAGCCUGUACGUGAUAGCAGUCGUGUUAGAAGAACGGUCUGGAAAGGCCGGCCAUAGUGGGUGAUAGCCCCGUAUUCGAAAACACAAUUGUGGUACUGAGCGUACGAGAAGUAGGGCGGGACACGUGAAAUCCUGUCUGAAGAUGGGGGGACCAUCCUCCAAGGCUAAAUACUCAUGAUCGACCGAUAGUGAACCAGUACCGUGAGGGAAAGGCGAAAAGAACCCCGGGAGGGGAGUGAAACAGAACCUGAAACCGGAUGCAUACAAACAGUGGGAGCCUGGAAACGGGUGACUGCGUACCUUUUGUAUAAUGGGUCAGCGACUUACAUUCAGUAGCGAGCUUAACCAGAUAGGGGAGGCGUAGCGAAAGCGAGUCCGAACAGGGCGUUGAGUUGCUGGGUGUAGACCCGAAACCGGAUGAUCUAUCCAUGGCCAGGAUGAAGGUGCGGUAACACGCACUGGAGGUCCGAACCCACGUCUGUUGCAAAAGACGGGGAUGAGCUGUGGAUAGGGGUGAAAGGCUAAACAAAUCCGGAAAUAGCUGGUUCUCUCCGAAAACUAUUUAGGUAGUGCCUCGAGAUUACACUGACGGGGGUAGAGCACUGUUAUGGCUAGGGGGUCAUUGCGAUUUACCAACCCAUGGCAAACUCCGAAUACCGUCAAGUGCGUCCUCGGGAGACAGACAGCGGGUGCUAACGUCCGUUGUCAAGAGGGAAACAACCCAGACCGCCAGCUAAGGUCCCAAAUGACAUGCUAAGUGGUAAACGAAGUGGGAAGGCCAAGACAGCCAGGAUGUUGGCUUAGAAGCAGCCAUCAUUCAAAGAAAGCGUAAUAGCUCACUGGUCGAGUCGUCCUGCGCGGAAGAUGUAACGGGGCUCAAGCAUGUAACCGAAGCUGCGGAUGCGUACUUGUACGCAUGGUAGGAGAGCGUUCUGUAGGCCUGCGAAGGUGGUGGUGUAAACCCUGCUGGAGGUAUCAGAAGUGCGAAUGCUGACAUGAGUAGCGAUAAAGCGGGUGAAAGUCCCGCUCGCCGAAAACCCAAGGUUUCCUACGCAACGUUCAUCGGCGUAGGGUGAGUCGGCCCCUAAGGCGAGGCAGAAAUGCGUAGUCGAUGGGAAACGGGUCAAGAUUCCCGUACCGGUUGUGAAUGCGAUGGGGGGACGGAGAAGGGUAGCUCAGCGGCCUGUUGGAAUAGGUCGUUUAAGCGUGUAGGAGUGGUCUCCUGGCAAAUCCGGAGAUCUUAUCUGAGGCGUGAUGACGAGGGUCUACGGACCUGAAGUGAGUAAUCCCAAGCUUCCAGGAAAAGCCUCUAAGCUUCAGUUCACAACUGACCGUACCGCAAACCGACACAGGUGGGUAGGUAGAGAAUACCAAGGCGCUUGAGAGAACUCGGGUUAAGGAACUCGGCAAAUUGACACCGUAACUUCGGGAGAAGGUGUGCCCCGGUAGCGUGUAGGACUUCGCGUCCGAAGCGUGAUGGGGUCGCAGAGAAUAGGUGGCUGCGACUGUUUAAUAAAAACACAGCUCUGUGCCAACACGAAAGUGGACGUAUACGGAGUGACGCCUGCCCGGUGCCGGAAGGUUAAGUGAUGGGGUGCAAGCUCUUGAUCGAAGCCCCGGUAAACGGCGGCCGUAACUAUAACGGUCCUAAGGUAGCGAAAUUCCUUGUCGGGUAAGUUCCGACCCGCACGAAUGGCGUAACGAUGGCCACACUGUCUCAACCCGAGACUCAGCGAAGUUGAAAUGUUUGUGAAGAUGCAAUCUCCCCGCUGCUAGACGGAAAGACCCCGUGAACCUUUACUGUAGCUUUGCAUUGGACUUUGAACAGGCUUGUGUAGGAUAGGUGGGAGGCUUUGAAGCUGAGACGCUAGUUUCAGUGGAGCCGUCCUUGAAAUACCACCCUGGUGUGUUUGAGGUUCUAAC